UUUCUAAGAAACAUGGGUAUUGA
RNAcentral lists this small nuclear RNA (23 nucleotides) under Arabidopsis thaliana (thale cress). RNAcentral's name for it is "snRNA_18062". The record is from RNAcentral. Lineage: Eukaryota; Viridiplantae; Streptophyta; Magnoliopsida; Brassicales; Brassicaceae.